CCACGUGUCACUUGAUUAGGGCAUCCGUUUUUCACUUUUCCGCCCAACAGUGUUCCGUCCCUUUAUCUCACUCCUAAAAACCCUAGAUCUUCCAAUUCUUCUUUUGUACUCCUCUUCCUUUCUCAUAGCGAUUCAAGAAACCAAUCUACGAUUCCUCUUUAGAUCUGUGUUUGUUUCUUUUGAUUCCUCAUUACUGUUUUCUUUACAGAUUUGCAGGUGGGGGAAUUGAUUCCUUACUGAAAUCGGUGAACCCUGUAUCAAUCAUUCAUUCGCAAUCCUAUGUCACCUCUUCCUUGACAAGUGAACCCUAAAUUGAUCCCCCAAAGCCUCUCAUCCAGAGUGCUGAAUAUCAAGUUUAAUGCUGCGAAGGUCUUGCAAUCUCGAGUUCCUAUAUAUCUGAAGAACUCUGUAGAUAAAAUUGUUAACUUUUUUGAAAGCAAUGCUGUCGUGAGUCAGAAGAUAGCCUUGGAAACAGCCGCUGCUGUGCAGAUGACGAUCGAUGAGGUUAAGCGCUCUACACAACUGCAAGUAAACAAGGCCCUGAAGGAUCAUGCCAAGUGUGUAGUUUUUUUUUUCAGUGGUGACAAUAAGUUUUACCAGUUUUGCCAGUUUUUUGGUUGAUUAUAGUUAUUUACAUGGUGUUCUUCUUGGACUUAGAUAUAGCAGCUCCCAAGAUCACCAUUCCAACUGAAUUUUCACCUGACAGUUUUCAUUCGACAUAACUCUUGCUUGACCUCGGAAACUUGAUAAUUCGUACUCAGUCUUUGAUCCCAAUCACACAUAAUGACCGGCGUUCUGAUUUACUUGGUUCCGAAUUCUCCAGCGACGUUUCCUGGCCGACAACCCUGAAUAGAUAAUCGCCUCCUUGGUGAUUUGAAUUUGUACUUGCUGACUUUAACAUACUGAAGUUGUCUAAAUUCACUUUUUUCAAGUGUUUAACUGUAUAAAAACGUUAUAUAUGAUUAUGGCUUCACAGGUUCAAGUAAGCAUGACAACAAGGGUAACACACACUCUCUCUCUGUGAUGCAUAUGAGAUUGUGAUGCAUAUGAGAUUGUUAUUAUAUACUGUUAAGUUAAAUGCAUGUAACUAUGAUGUCUGUUGAAAUUUUCAGAUAAACGCCUUCCACCCCUGGCAUAUUCCUGGCACGAUUUACCCUCAAAGAAUAAUAAUAAUGUUCUAACCUUGGUUAGCAUAUGGGCUCCUAUAGUGGCUCUGUGUAAUUUUUUCUCUUUCCAAUCUGCAAGUUAUUUAUAAAACAAUUUAUUUUGAGCAAUAUUUGUUUCAUUAAAAGAAGUCUCAUCUGUUAUGUGUAUUUGGUGAAACCCGAGUAUGAUGUGCAGGUUAGUCAUAUUAAUUUUUCUUUUAAUUAUUGCAGAUAAAAACUUUGAUGAUCUUUUUUGUUAUAUAUGUAGGCUUGGUGUAUGCUUCUGAAUGACAAGGUUUCUUUUAGAAUGCAAUGGCCACAGUUCGCAGAGCUACAAAUCAAUGGAUGGAGUCAUUUUGCUCAAUUCACAAUAGAUGUGGUGAAUAAAGACCCCAAGAAAUCAAAAUAUUCUGAUACAUUACAUCGCUUCUGGAAGAAACAGCAUGACUGGGGAUGGAAAAGGUUCAUGGAAUUAUCCAAAGUGUUAGACGGGCUUCUCGAUGCCGACACGCUCAUAAUAAAAGCUCAAGUCCAAGUUAUCAGGUUUUUAGCUACUUUAAUGAUCUAACGUAAAUUCAUUCAUAAUGUAUCUUAUUUUGUCGAUAUCUAUUUUGAUUGGUGCGUGUUCGAGCAAUUAAUGUUUGAUACUUUGAUUUCUUACGGAAAUAGAAUAAUAGCUGGUCUAACAAAUUCGGCGUAAAACGGUUAGAUUAUUUAAGACUAAUUGUACUUGAAUAGGAUAUAUUAACUCAAUAUAGCCAUAUUAAGUUAUUGCACUCGUGUGAUAAUACUACAUACACUUGAAUAGGAUAUAUUAACUCAAUAUAGCCAAGAAAAGUUUAUGAAAAGUUUAUAACUCUUCUUAUAGCGAAGACAUUAAUAUAUCAUGUUUUUUGUAUGAUCUUAAGUGUGUAUUAAUUAAUAAUAAUAAUUAACCUAAAUAAUUUUCUUGAGUCCGGAAAGCAAUCCCGGCUAGUACUAGUUAUAUAUAACAAAUGAAAAGAAUUAGGGCCACGUGUCACAAUAUUAGAGCACUUUGGGCGGGAAAAUGUUUGGGCUAUCCCCGUUUUAUUUACGCGCACUGGAAACUUGAUAAGGAUCUAUUGAAAACCCUAAAAUUCACAGCUUCAAAAGUCAGGUGAUCUGGAUUUUUGUUUGGUUCUUCUUCAUUCAAACCCUUAAUCUCCUCUGAAGUUGUGUCUUCAAUCUUCCUCGCUCUCUGCGUUGGAUCUUCCUCGCUCUCUGCGUUGGAUCUUCCUCUAAUUCUGUAUGAUUGAAACAUUGGAGCAUAUGAUGAUGGAAUAUGACUGGGUUCAAGUAAUUUUGAUUCAUCCAACUUUUGUUACGAUCUGUUAGGGUUUCAUUUCUUCACUUUCGGUUUCCAAUCUGUUAGGGUUUCAUCAAGCAACUUCAGUUUCUUCAAAAAUGCGGACAAAUUCAUAAUUACGGAGAUUAAUUUUGCGGAAAUUAGGGAUUUCAUAACACUUUCUGCUGUUGAAUCUCUUCAAUUUGUGUCCAUGUUGAUUCAAGGGUCAUUAUUUCUCCAAUUUGAAGGUAAAUCACUUCACAAUUCAUUGUGAAAAUGCUUUAAUAUUAGGGGUUUUUGUAUGCAUUUUGAUCAUUUCUCUAACAUAUACGUCAGCUUGAGUUAGAGGUUAUUGUACAUUUUGAUCAUUUCUCUAACAUAUACGUCAACAACUUGACCUGUUUCUACUUUCUACCGUAAACUAACUUUUUUUACUACAUUUAUCAUUAAAGUAGCUAGGACGGCUUGCUGACCCGUUACAAUGGGUCAUAAGUACCUGUGACAACUGAAUUCUAAAAAGAGGCUUCCUCACAGUCUCAUGCAAUGUUUUAAAAACCGGUUUUUAAAUCAAACCGGAUUAGGCUAAAA
RNAcentral lists this long non-coding RNA (3039 nucleotides) under Helianthus annuus (common sunflower). The record is from RNAcentral. Lineage: Eukaryota; Viridiplantae; Streptophyta; Magnoliopsida; Asterales; Asteraceae.